RNAcentral lists this long non-coding RNA (213 nucleotides) under Lathyrus oleraceus (garden pea). RNAcentral describes it as "Pisum sativum (pea) long non-coding RNA (PSAT_LNC018174)". The record is from RNAcentral. Lineage: Eukaryota; Viridiplantae; Streptophyta; Magnoliopsida; Fabales; Fabaceae.
UCAUCUUUUAUUUUUGUAUUAGAGUAAAUCCCGCGACACUUAUUUCUCGAUUUGUUGCAAGGUGCAUGACUAUCUUACUUCUUUUAUGGGUAAGGGAUAACCAUUUUGAAUUUGUGAUUCCAUCCUCUUGAUAGGUAUAUGAUAUGGUUGAUCACUUGAUGGGAUAUUCUCCUUCUGAAAUUUGAACGCAAGGUCAAACUAACUAAAUACUAC